AACGAACGCUGGCGGCAUGCCUAACACAUGCAAGUCGAACGAGACCUCCGGGUCUUGUGGCGCUCGGGUGCGUAACGCGUGGGAACCUGCCCUUAGGUUCGGUAUACCUCCCCGAAAGGUGUCCUCAUACCGGUUAAUCUCAUCGCACCUAAGAUUUAUUGCCUUGGGGUGGGCCCGCGUUAGAUUCGGUGGUUGGUAGGGUACAAGCCUGGCAAGGGGUCGAUCCAGAGCUGGUCGGUGAGGAUGAUCAGCCGCAAUGGGACUGAGACACGGCCCAGACUGGUACGGAAGGGAGGAGUGGGGUAUAUUGGAGGAGGAGCGAUGACCUAGUACAGCAACGCGGGGGGAGUGAUGAAGGCGUUAGGAUUGUAAAGCUCUUUUAGCCGGGAUGAUAAUGACAGUACCGGGAGAAUAAGCACCGGCUAACUACGUG
RNAcentral lists this ribosomal RNA (433 nucleotides) under uncultured bacterium. RNAcentral's name for it is "partial 16S ribosomal RNA". It matches the Rfam family "Bacterial small subunit ribosomal RNA", at positions 29 to 507 of the family's 1533-position model. The record is from RNAcentral.